This 268-nucleotide unclassified non-coding RNA is filed under the name fungal sp. RNAcentral describes it as "partial internal transcribed spacer region". The stretch from base 1 to 45 matches the Rfam family "Eukaryotic small subunit ribosomal RNA", at positions 1787 to 1831 of the family's 1831-position model. The record is from RNAcentral. Lineage: Eukaryota; Fungi.
AGUCGUAACAAGGUAUCCGUAGGUGAACCUGCGGAUGGAUCAUUAUAGGUUAUUUUGAAUGUUGUGUGAACAGUGUGGUUGCGGUUGUGGUGGGUGUGAUAUGUGGUAUAUGGUAUAUGUGAUAUAUGGUAUACGAUAUGAUAUAUAAUAUAUAAUAUACAAUAUAUAAUAUAAUAUCAUCCACCUUGACAACAUUGACGUACAUUAGUGCUGAAUACAUUAUAUAUUGAAAUAUAAACAACUUUCAGCAAUGGAUCUCUUGGCUCUC